RNAcentral lists this long non-coding RNA (546 nucleotides) under Sorghum bicolor (sorghum). RNAcentral's name for it is "long non-coding RNA (SBIC_LNC011143)". Lineage: Eukaryota; Viridiplantae; Streptophyta; Magnoliopsida; Poales; Poaceae. The record is from RNAcentral.
AGAAGCCCCCGACCAAGGGCCACGGCCACAAGCCGGAGAAGCCGCCCAAGGAGCACAAGCCGACUCCGCCCACCUACACCCCGAGCCCCAAGCCCACGCCGCCGCCGGCUACUCCCAAGCCGACGCCGCCCACCUACACGCCGAGCCCUAAGCCCAAGUCGCCGGUCUACCCUCCCCCGCCGAAAGCCAGUACUCCUCCGACCUACACCCCGAGCCCCAAGCCUCCGGCGACCAAGCCGCCUACCUACCCGACCCCCAAGCCACCAGCUACCAAGCCUCCGACACCUCCUGUGUACACUCCGAGCCCCAAACCACCGGUUACAAAGCCUCCUACACCCAAGCCGACCCCGCCGGUGUACACGCCGAACCCCAAGCCACCGGUUACCAAGCCUCCGACACACACGCCGAGCCCCAAGCCUCCGACAUCCAAGCCGACUCCGCCGGUGUACACACCGAGCCCCAAGCCACCGAAGCCGUCCCCGCCGACGUACACGCCGACCCCGAAGCCACCGGCUACCAAGCCGCCCACCUCAACUCCGACGCACC